Myodes glareolus (Bank vole) is the source of this 2469-nucleotide non-coding RNA. The record is from RefSeq and is a predicted model, not a curated record. Lineage: Eukaryota; Metazoa; Chordata; Mammalia; Rodentia; Cricetidae.
GAGUAAUCCAGAUAUGCGGAGACGAUACUCUCUUGGAGCUGGCCCUUUGCAUGAGGCUUCCCUUGCUCAGCAAUUGGGAUGCAUGAAAGAGGCUGCCUCAAGUGAUGAACUGUGCCAUGCAAGAUGUGCCAUGCAAGAUGAAGCAGACCCUUUUCUCCCAUGUUGCUGUUUGCAUGGUGUUCAUCACAGCAACAGAAAAGCCAACUAGAGCAGUAGUUUCUGCGCCCUCAAGUGACUUGAAUGCAGGCCUAGCAAGAGGGUAAGGAGCCAUUUGGCCUGAACUGAAAACCAGCACUGAAGAUGGUAGAACAGAAAAGAUAAAAGAAGCCUGCUUCCAUAACUACAGAACUGGAGCCAGCAAUGUUUUUUGACAAAGGACUAUAUAAUAACAAAUUUCUGUUUCAUAGACUUACGGGUCUUUGCCACAACUAGUCAAUUCUGCCAUUCAGAGUGAUGAUAGUCACAGAGACUAUGUAAUUAGUGAGUUCUGGUAUGUUUCAACUUGUGUCCCACUGUGACUCUGUAGACAGAAAAGAUGGAUUUCUUUUGAGACAGAUUCCCAUGUGUCAUGUGUUUCAGGGUGGCCUCAGACUUGCUAGGUAGCCAAGAACGACCUUGGACUUCUAAUCCUUCUGCCUCUAUUUCUCAAGUGCUACAUGCAUGUACCACCAAGUCCAGUUUAUGCUAUACUGAGGAGUAAACCCAGGGCUUUGGACAUGCUACGUGGGCACUCUCCCAACUUACCCACAUCACAACCCUGAAAUGUGAAUUCCUAAUAACUUUUUUACAUCCCCCCAAUUAUACGACCUUCACGGUACUAUUUCAUUUUCUACUGGGAUAGGAAUGAACGAGCUAGGCAAGCACUCUAGAACUGAAUCCAUUUUCACUGAUUUUCUUUCAACUGUUUAAAAGUGAUGUGCAAUUCUUUGUUCUAAGGCUCCACCAAAGUCGACAGAUGAGUGACUUUGGUAUGCUGUGUGUUGGCUUGCCCCAGCUGUGAAGCAUCAUCCUGUCCUCGAAAACUGUGCCUUAGGCUUUAUUUACAGGGGAGAGAUGGUUCUCUGUUGGUCAGGGUGGAACUUCCUGUGACUCAGCAGAACUGAACCCUGACACGUGGAAAUUCAAAUUCGAUGCAGCUGGGAAUGCUCCACCCAUUAACAAUCCAGACCAAUCCUAUCCAGGCUUUGGAAGUUUCUCUGCUUUUUGAGAUUUUUCUGCCUAAGACUCAAAGUUGCUACUGUCAUUGAGGAUCUUCCUCGGACUACUAGAACCCAGGGGUUGAAAACAGAGUAUUGCAAAUUUAUUUUCCCUUACAUGUGCACAUGCAUUCACACACCGAGACACAGUCUCUCUCUCUCUUUUUCUCUGUCUCUUUCUCUCUGUUCCCCCUUUCUCCUCCUAAAUAACAACAGAAAAGGGUUUCUUUGAAUUUAUAUAGACUACCAGCAGUUUCAUACUGAUACACACACAGUAAAGAUUGUGCAAAAUCAGUUUGCACUAAUGUAAUAGGACAUCUCUGACGUUUAUCACUUCCCUUACCGCACCCCUUUGUAAGUAAUAGAAGAAUAAAUGCUGUCUGUUCUUUGAGACGCUAAAGGGCAGUCGAACAAAAGGUUUUCUAUCUUGUAGAUAGUGUUUGGCUAUUAAGCACCACUCUCAAAAGUGUCAAUGUUAACAGACAUAUUUUACACUAAAACUUCAGCAAUAAAUCAGACUCAUCUGCACCAUGCAACAAGGGACCCGUGAGCUGCAAUCCUAGUUCCCUGUUCCUUCCGAUUUGAUAAAGACCUCAGUAUUGAUUUACUCAGUGCAGCUACCAAUACUUACCUCCUAAGGCAAACAGAACUGUGCAUGCAGAACACUGGCCACUGCUUAUUAGGGAACUAAUGUACCAGGCACAAAUCUGUUGUCGUUCAUUGGCUGAUUGCACGAAAGAGGAGGGGAAAGACUCCGAAUAUCACUCAGCUGCCCUUGCCCCAGUGACAGUGUUUUAGCCAUGGUGCCAAGUCCCGAAAUACAAUCUUUUGUAAGAUAAUCCCCUGGGUCUUUCCUUGGCUGGUGAACUCAACUUUUUUGAGUCCAUUGGCUGGAAGACCACCACCCCAGCAGAGAACAACCAAGGAAAACAGAUUUGUUCCGCUGUGUCUGCCUCACAUGCCCAGUUCAAGCUAGUCUCCCUCUAAGCAACCCUUGGAAGGUUAGUGCGGCUGCCUACCACGGUCUGGGUGUCCCUGGGUAGCCCUGGGUGGAGUCUGUAAUCACCUUAUUCAAGUUGGAGCUCCAAUCUUGGCAGACAGAGUAUUAGAGCUUAAAGUCAAAAUAUACCUCUUCUGUGAAGGCCUUGAAAGUCCCACCGAAGAGCCCUCUGUGCUGGGGGAGGAAAGAAAAGAUAAAAGCCAAAACCACGUGAUCUGGAGGACACUGUAAAUACGUACAGUCUGCCCAACUCACCAAUUUUGUUUGAUUAAU